UACAGAGGGGGCAAGCGUUGUUCGGAAUUACUGGGCGUAAAGGGCGCGUAGGCGGCCUUCUAAGUCGAACGUGAAAUCCCCGGGCUCAAUCCGGGAACUGCGUCCGAUACUGGAAGGCUUGAAUCCGGGAGAGGGAUGCGGAAUUCCAGGUGUAGCGGUGAAAUGCGUAGAUAUCUGGAGGAACACCGGUGGCGAAGGCGGCAUCCUGGACCGGCAUUGACGCUGAGGCGCGAAAGCCAGGGGAGCAAACGGG
This 253-nucleotide ribosomal RNA is filed under the name uncultured bacterium. RNAcentral's name for it is "partial 16S ribosomal RNA". It matches the Rfam family "Bacterial small subunit ribosomal RNA", at positions 524 to 776 of the family's 1533-position model. The record is from RNAcentral.